GAUUGAACGCUGGCGGCAUGCCUUACACAUGCAAGUCGAACGGCAGCACGGAGCUUGCUCUGGUGGCGAGUGGCGAACGGGUGAGUAAUAUAUCGGAACGUACCCUAGAGUGGGGGAUAACGUAGCGAAAGUUACGCUAAUACCGCAUACGAUCUAAGGAUGAAAGUGGGGGAUCGCAAGACCUCAUGCUCGUGGAGCGGCCGAUAUCUGAUUAGCUAGUUGGUAGGGUAAAAGCCUACCAAGGCAUCGAUCAGUAGCUGGUCUGAGAGGACGACCAGCCACACUGGAACUGAGACACGGUCCAGACUCCUACGGGAGGCAGCAGUGGGGAAUUUUGGACAAUGGGCGAAAGCCUGAUCCAGCAAUGCCGCGUGAGUGAAGAAGGCCUUCGGGUUGUAAAGCUCUUUUGUCAGGGAAGAAACGGUGAGAGCUAAUAUCUUUUGCUAAUGACGGUACCUGAAGAAUAAGCACCGGCUAACUACGUGCCAGCAGCCGCGGUAAUACGUAGGGUGCAAGCGUUAAUCGGAAUUACUGGGCGUAAAGCGUGCG
Molecule: ribosomal RNA, 549 nt
Filed under: uncultured bacterium
Lineage: Bacteria
Description: bacterial SSU rRNA
Rfam family: Bacterial small subunit ribosomal RNA
Source: RNAcentral